AGAGUCUUUCCAAUCACUGUUUAUCUGAUGGAUUCCAGCAAGUAUGGAAAUGAAGCAAAGAUUUUGACUCAUGGUUCUGAUAGAGGUCACAGGCUAAGGAUGUCAUUGCUCACAUCAGGAGUAUUUCUAGCUGUUAAAGCCACUUGGCCUGCGGACAGGCAAGGAGAGAGAAAGAGCAAUGGACAAUGCGAGGAAGAAUGAAUGAGCUGAGAGGGAUUCCAGGCAGUGAAGGGAUCGCUGGCUUCACUUCCCCUGUGAUCGGGCCUUUUCUUAUUUGUCCUCCCACCCUUGGCAUUAUCCGGCAUGAAUUCUUUGGAAUGCUUUGGUACUGCUUAAUUUACAUGUAUGCCAACAGGCUUUUAAUGUAUUUAAAUCUUGGAAGAUGUUCAAAGGAAACCCAUAAUUCCUCUGAAAUAGGCCUUUUGAAGGUUUUAUCUCGCUCUUUCUCUCUAGCUAAUCUCACAG
Long non-coding RNA from Cyprinus carpio carpio, 465 nucleotides. The record is from Ensembl. Lineage: Eukaryota; Metazoa; Chordata; Actinopteri; Cypriniformes; Cyprinidae.